AGUGAACGCUGGCGGUAGGCCUAACACAUGCAAGUCGAACGGCAGCACAGUAAGAGCUUGCUCUUACGGGUGGCGAGUGGCGGACGGGUGAGGAAUACAUCGGAAUCUACUUUUUCGUGGGGGAUAACGUAGGGAAACUUACGCUAAUACCGCAUACGACCUACGGGUGAAAGCAGGGGAUCUUCGGACCUUGCGCGAUUGAAUGAGCCGAUGUCGGAUUAGCUAGUUGGCGGGGUAACGGCCCACCAAGGCGACGAUCCGUAGCUGGUCUGAGAGGAUGAUCAGCCACACUGGAACUGAGACACGGUCCAGACUCCUACGGGAGGCAGCAGUGGGGAAUAUUCGACAAUGGGCGCAAGCCUGAUCCAGCCAUACCGCGUGGGUGAAGAAGGCCUUCGGGUUGUAAAGCCCUUUUGUUGGGAAAGAAAAGCAGCAGGUUAAUACCCCGCUGCUCUGACGGUACCCAAAGAAUAAGCACCGGCUAACUUCGUG
RNAcentral lists this ribosomal RNA (492 nucleotides) under uncultured bacterium. RNAcentral describes it as "partial 16S ribosomal RNA". It matches the Rfam family "Bacterial small subunit ribosomal RNA", at positions 29 to 507 of the family's 1533-position model. The record is from RNAcentral.